GAGUUUGAUCAUGGCUCAGAACGAACGCUGGCGGCAGGCCUAAUACAUGCAAGUCGAGCGGACCUUUCGGGGUCAGCGGCGGACGGGUGAGUAACGCGUGGGAACAUGCCUUUCGGUGCGGAAUAACCGUUGGAAACGGCGGCUAAUGCUGCAUACGCCCUGAGUGGGGAAAGAUUUAUCGCCGAGGGAUUGGCCCGCGUUGGAUUAGGUAGUUGGUGGGGUAAAGGCCUACCAAGCCGACGAUCCAUAGCUGGUCUGAGAGGAUGAUCAGCCACACUGGGACUGAGACACGGCCCAGACUCCUACGGGAGGCAGCAGUAGGGAAUAUUGGACAAUGGGGGAAACCCUGAUCCAGCCAUGCCGCGUGAGUGAAGAAGGCCUUAGGGUUGUAAAGCUCUUUCACUGGCGAGGAUGAUGACGGUAGCCAGAGAAGAAGCCCCGGCAAACUUCGUGCCAGCAGCCGCGGUAAUACGAAGGGGGCGAGCGUUGUUCGGAAUUACUGGGCGUANAGGGCGCGUAGGCGGCGCGUUGCGUC
This 535-nucleotide ribosomal RNA is filed under the name uncultured bacterium. RNAcentral describes it as "partial 16S ribosomal RNA". It matches the Rfam family "Bacterial small subunit ribosomal RNA", at positions 9 to 589 of the family's 1533-position model. The record is from RNAcentral.